This 784-nucleotide ribosomal RNA is filed under the name Paracoccidioides brasiliensis. RNAcentral's name for it is "eukaryotic LSU rRNA". It matches the Rfam family "Eukaryotic large subunit ribosomal RNA", at positions 49 to 849 of the family's 3401-position model. Lineage: Eukaryota; Fungi; Ascomycota; Eurotiomycetes; Onygenales; Ajellomycetaceae. The record is from RNAcentral.
AGCGGAGGAAAAGAAACCAACAGGGAUUGCCUCAGUAACGGCGAGUGAAGCGGCAAGAGCUCAAAUUUGAAAUCUGGCUCCUUCGGGGCCCGAGUUGUAAUUUGUAGAGGAUGCUUCGGGCGUGGCCGCGGUCUAAGUCCCCUGGAACGGGGCGUCGCAGAGGGUGAGAAUCCCGUCUUCGGCCGGCCGGCCCCGCCCGUGUGAAGCUCCUUCGACGAGUCGAGUUGUUUGGGAAUGCAGCUCUAAAUGGGUGGUAAAUUUCAUCUAAAGCUAAAUACUGGUCGGAGACCGAUAGCGCACAAGUAGAGUGAUCGAAAGAUGAAAAGCACUUUGAAAAGAGAGUUAAACAGCAUGUGAAAUUGUUGAAAGGGAAGCGCUUGCGACCAGAGUCGGCCGCGGGGGCUCAGCGGGCACUCGUUGCCCGUGCACUCCCCCGUGGUCGGGCCAGCGUCGGUUUCGACGGCCGGUCAAAGGCCCCCGGAAUGUGUCGCCUCUCGGGGCGUCUUAUAGCCGGGGGUGCAAUGCGGCCAGUCGGGACCGAGGAACGCGCUCCGGCACGGACGCUGGCUUAAUGGUCGUAAGCGACCCGUCUUGAAACACGGACCAAGGAGUCUAACAUCCACGCGAGUGUUCGGGUGUCAAACCCGUCCGCGCAGUGAAAGCGAACGGAGGUGGGAACCCUCAAGGGUGCACCAUCGACCGAUCCUGAAGUCUUCGGAUGGAUUUGAGUAAGAGCGUGGCUGUUGGGACCCGAAAGAUGGUGAACUAUGCCUGAAUAGGGUGA